Molecule: ribosomal RNA, 2127 nt
Filed under: invertebrate metagenome
Description: bacterial LSU rRNA
Rfam family: Bacterial large subunit ribosomal RNA
Source: RNAcentral
UCAAAUAACCUAAGGCACACGGGGGAUACCUAGGCAUUCAGAGCCGAUGAAGGGCGUGGAAACCGACGAAAUGCUUCGAGGAGCUGGAAACAAGCUGUGAGUCGAAGAUUCCCGAAUGGGGCAACCUAUCAAACUCCUUCUUGAAUUCAUAGAGAAGGAAGAGACAACCUGGUGAAUUGAAACAUCUUAGUAGCCAGAGGAGAAGAAAGCAAACGCGAUUCCCUAAGUAGCGGCGAGCGAAAGGGGAUCAGCCUAAACCAGAGUACCCUUGGGUAUUCUGGGGUCGUGGGAGGAAAUAUAUACAAAGUAUCAAGUUUAGAUGAAGCAGCUGAAUCCUGCACCAGAGAGGGUGAAAGUCCCGUUGUCGAAAAACUUGAAUCGAUGUUUUUCUUAUCCCGAGUAGCAUGGGGCACGUGAAAUCCCGUGUGAAUCUGCGAGGACCACCUCGUAAGGCUAAAUACUCCUGAAUGACCGAUAGCGAACAAGUACCGCGAGGGAAAGGUGAAAGAGAACCCCUGACGGGGAGUGAAAUAGAACAUGAAACCGUGUGCGUACAAUCUGUAGGAGAGUUGUAAAACUUGACUGCGUACCUUUGGAAGAAUGGACUGGCGACUUAUAGGGAGUGGCUUGGUUAAAGACGAGAAACAUCUGAAGCCAGAGCGAAAGCAAGUCUGAAUAGGGCGACCCCGGUCACUUCUUAUGGACCCGAACCCAGAUGAUCUAACCAUGACCAGAUUGAAACUUAGGUAACACUAUGUGGAGGAUCGAAGGCAUCAAUGUUGAAAAAUUGUGCCAUGAGUUGUGGUUAGGGAUGAAAUUUCAAUCGAAUUUGGAGCUAGCUGGUUCUCCCCGAAAUGCGUUGAGGCGCAGCGGGUGACAAUACGAUCUGUCUAGGGGUAAAGCACUGUUUAGGUGCGGGCGGUGAGAGCCGUACCAAAUCUUGGCAAACUAAGAAUACUAGGCAUGACUUCUGUCACCCAGUGGGACUGUGCGGGAGAAGCUGCAUAGUCGAGAGGGAAACAGCCCAGAUCACCAGUUAAGGCCCCAAAAUGAUAGCUCAGUGGCAAAGGAGGUGAAAAUGCAGAAACAACCAGGAGGUUUGCUUAGAAGCAGCCACCCUUUAAAGAGUGCGUAAUAGCUCACUGGUGGAGCGUUUUUGCGCCGAAAAUGUACGGGACUAAGCUAUCUGCCGACACUGUGGGAUACUGACACUUUGUCAGUAUCGGUAGGGGAGCGUUCUGGAAUGGGUGAAGUUUAUCCGUAAGGGUAGGUGGACGUUUCAGAAGUGAGAAUGUCAGUUUGAGUAGCGAAAACAUUGGUGAGAAUCCAAUGCCCCGAAAACCUAAGGGUUCCUUCACUAGGCUCGUCCAUGGAGGGUUAGCCAGGUCCUAAGGCGAGGCCGAAAGGCGUAGUCGAUGGCAAACAGGUUAAUAUUCCUGUGCUUGAUUGAUCUCAGUACCGAGGGACGAAGGUGGUUCACAUUAGCCAAGACUGGUAUUUGGUGUAAGCUUGCGAGGCGUUGACAGUACGAAGAAAAACGUAUCUGGAGCGAAGCAGUGAUGCAGUGUCAGAUAUUGACGAGUUUGUUCGCAUGCUCGUCGAGCUGAUGCUUAAUGUAAAGAAUCUUUCUUCCUAGAAAAGCUCGAACUACAUAUGUGAUCAAUGAACCUGUACCCGAAACCGACACAGGUAGGUAAGUAGAGAAUACUAAGGGGCGCGGGAGAACUCUCUCUAAGGAACUCGGCAAAAUAGCCCCGUAACUUCGGGAGAAGGGGUGCCCUGUAAAAAGGGCCGCAGUGACCAGGCCCAGCCGACUGUUUACCAAAAACACAGGUCUCCGCAAAGUCGUAAGACAAUCUAUGGGGGCUGACGCCUGCCCAGUGCCGGACGGUCAAGGAAGUUGGUUAUUCGUAAGAAGACGCUGACAACUGAAGCCCCGGUGAACGGCGGCCGUAACUAUAACGGUCCUAAGGUAGCGAAAUUCAUUGUCGGGUAAGUUCCGACCCGCACGAAAGGCGUAACGUUCUGGGCGCUGUCUCGGAGUGAGACCCGGCGAAAUAGACAUAGCCGUGAAGAUGCGGAUUACUUACACUGGGACAGAAAGACCCUAUGAAGCUAUACUGUAGC